This 339-nucleotide unclassified non-coding RNA is filed under the name Hevea brasiliensis (rubber tree). The record is from RNAcentral. Lineage: Eukaryota; Viridiplantae; Streptophyta; Magnoliopsida; Malpighiales; Euphorbiaceae.
AAUUUUGAAGGAAAUAAUGGAUUCACUGAGAGAUCCUAAUAUUAACAUCCUUGGUGUUUGUGGGAGGGGCGGGGUGGGUAAGACCACCCUAGUAAAGGAGGUCGUUAGACAAGCCCAAUUAGAGUAUCUAUUUGAUGAUGUGAUUUUUGUUACUGUAUCAGAAACGCCAAAGAUCAGAGGAAUUCAAGCGGAUGUUGCUGAAUUCUUGAGCCUUCGUCUUCAUGAGGAGGAAAUAUUCCUAAGAGCAAAUCGACUACGUGAGAGGUUGAAGAAAGAGAAGAGGAUACUUAUCAUUCUUGAUGAUAUCUGGACAACACUUCAAUUAGAGGAAGUGGGAAU